Long non-coding RNA from Balaenoptera ricei (Rice's whale), 342 nucleotides. RefSeq lists it as uncharacterized. NCBI's taxonomy places the organism in Eukaryota, Metazoa, Chordata, Mammalia, Artiodactyla, Balaenopteridae. The transcript has 3 exons. The record is from RefSeq and is a predicted model, not a curated record.
ACAGUCCACAUUCACAUUUUCCCAACUAUCCCCCAGCUGUCACUUUUACAGCUAUUUUUCUCCCAGGAUCCAAUCAAAGAUCAUGCAAUGACUCUUCCAUAUGAGACCCUAAGAAAGAACUGCUCAGCUGAGCCCAGUCAACUUACAAGAGUAACUGUUGCUACAUGGAUUUAAGACCACCGUAACAAUAGCAGUCAAGGGACCCUAUUUCAGAGUUACAUUUUUCUCUGUGGAAAUACCUGCCUUAAUGCCAUUGGAAUACAGACAGAAGGACUACAUUUCACUUUAACUGUUGCAUCUCAUGGAUAUUGCUGUACUGUAUUUCAAGAGUUGUCUCCAGUA